Molecule: long non-coding RNA, 357 nt
Filed under: Salmo salar (Atlantic salmon)
Lineage: Eukaryota; Metazoa; Chordata; Actinopteri; Salmoniformes; Salmonidae
Description: lncRNA (ENSSSAG00000084843.1)
Source: RNAcentral
GGUCGGUGGUGGUCUGUGGUGGUGUAGAGAUGGUAGGUGGUGGUGUAGGGAUGGUAGGUGGUGGUCUGUGGUGGUGUAGAGAUGGUAGGUGGAGGUCUGUGGGGGUGUAGAGAUGGUAGGUGGUGGUGUAGAGAUGGUAGGUGGUGGUCUGUGGUGGUGUAGAGAUGGUAGGUGGUGGUGUAGAGAUGGUAGGUGGGGGUCUGUGGUGGUGUAGAGAUGGUAGGUGGUGGUCUGUGGUGGUGUAGAGAUGGUUGGUGGGGGUCUGUGGUGUUGUAGAGAUGGUCUGUGGUUGUCUGUGGUGGUGUAGAGAUGGUAGGUAGGGGUCUGUGGUGGUGUAGAGAAUGUAGGUGGGGGUCU